UACGGAGGGUGCGAGCGUUGUCCGGAAUCACUGGGCGUAAAGGGCGCGUAGGUGGUCAGGUAAGGGCGUGGUGAAAGUCCGGGGCUCAACCCCGGAUCUGCCGUGCCGACUGCUUGACUGGAGCAUUGCAGAGGCAGAUGGAAUUCCGGGUGUAGCGGUGAAAUGCGUAGAUAUCCGUAGGAACAUCGAUGGCGAAGGCAGCCGCCUGGGCCACAACUGACACUGAGGUACGAAAGCGUGGGGAGCAAACAGG
Molecule: ribosomal RNA, 253 nt
Filed under: uncultured bacterium
Lineage: Bacteria
Description: partial 16S ribosomal RNA
Rfam family: Bacterial small subunit ribosomal RNA
Source: RNAcentral